RNAcentral lists this ribosomal RNA (2871 nucleotides) under Campylobacter coli. RNAcentral's name for it is "partial 23S ribosomal RNA". It matches the Rfam family "Bacterial large subunit ribosomal RNA". The record is from RNAcentral. Lineage: Bacteria; Pseudomonadati; Campylobacterota; Epsilonproteobacteria; Campylobacterales; Campylobacteraceae.
AGGUAAGCUACUAAGAGCGAAUGGUGGAUGCCUUGACUGGUAAAGGCGAUGAAGGACGUACUAGACUGCGAUAAGCUACGGGGAGCUGUCAAGAAGCUUUGAUCCGUAGAUUUCCGAAUGGGGCAACCCAAUGUAUAGAGAUAUACAUUACCUAUAUAGGAGCGAACGAGGGGAAUUGAAACAUCUUAGUACCCUCAGGAAAAGAAAUCAAUAGAGAUUGCGUCAGUAGCGGCGAGCGAAAGCGCAAGAGGGCAAACCCAGUGCUUGCACUGGGGGUUGUAGGACUGCAAUGUGCAAGAGGUGAGUUUAGCAGAACAUUCUGGAAAGUAUAGCCAUAGAGGGUGAUAGUCCCGUAUGCGAAAAACAAACCUUAGCUAGCAGUAUCCUGAGUAGGGCGGGACACGAGAAAUCCUGUCUGAAGCUGGGUCGACCACGAUCCAACCCUAAAUACUAAUACCAGAUCGAUAGUGCACAAGUACCGUGAGGGAAAGGUGAAAAGAACUGAGGUGAUCAGAGUGAAAUAGAACCUGAAACCAUUUGCUUACAAUCAUUCAGAGCCCUAUGUAGCAAUACAGGGUGAUGGACUGCCUUUUGCAUAAUGAGCCUGCGAGUUGUGGUGUCUGGCAAGGUUAAGCAAACGCGAAGCCGUAGCGAAAGCGAGUCUGAAUAGGGCGCUUAGUCAGAUGCUGCAGACCCGAAACGAAGUGAUCUAUCCAUGAGCAAGUUGAAGCUAGUGUAAGAACUAGUGGAGGACUGAACCCAUAGGCGUUGAAAAGCCCCGGGAUGACUUGUGGAUAGGGGUGAAAGGCCAAUCAAACUUCGUGAUAGCUGGUUCUCUCCGAAAUAUAUUUAGGUAUAGCGUUGUGUCGUAAUAUAAGGGGGUAGAGCACUGAAUGGGCUAGGGCAUACACCAAUGUACCAAACCCUAUCAAACUCCGAAUACCUUAUAUGUAAUCACAGCAGUCAGGCGGCGAGUGAUAAAAUCCGUCGUCAAGAGGGAAACAACCCAGACUACCAGCUAAGGUCCCUAAAUCUUACUUAAGUGGAAAACGAUGUGAAGUUACUUAAACAACCAGGAGGUUGGCUUAGAAGCAGCCAUCCUUUAAAGAAAGCGUAAUAGCUCACUGGUCUAGUGAUUUUGCGCGGAAAAUAUAACGGGGCUAAAGUAAGUACCGAAGCUGUAGACUUGCGCACAACUUAGAUUAUUUAAGUUUAGAAUAUGAGAAACUAAGUUAUAUGUUUAGUUAUAUUUUUACUGAUUUUUAUAGAGUAAAGAUAGAAAUAAAACUUAGUAAAAUCAGUAAAAAUAUUCUUAGACUAAAGUUAAGUAGUUUAAGUUGUGUGCAAGUGGUAGGAGAGCGUUCUAUUUGCGUCGAAGGUAUACCGGUAAGGAGUGCUGGAGCGAAUAGAAGUGAGCAUGCAGGCAUGAGUAGCGAUAAUUAAUGUGAGAAUCAUUAACGCCGUAAACCCAAGGUUUCCUACGCGAUGCUCGUCAUCGUAGGGUUAGUCGGGUCCUAAGUCGAGUCCGAAAGGGGUAGACGAUGGCAAAUUGGUUAAUAUUCCAAUACCAACAUUAGUGUGCGAUGGAAGGACGCUUAGGGCUAAGGGGGCUAGCGGAUGGAAGUGCUAGUCUAAGGUCGUAGGAGGUUAUACAGGCAAAUCCGUAUAACAAUACUCCGAGAACUGAAAGGCUUUUUGAAGUCUUCGGAUGGAUAGAAGAACCCCUGAUGCCGUCGAGCCAAGAAAAGUUUCUAAGUUUAGCUAAUGUUGCCCGUACCGUAAACCGACACAGGUGGGUGGGAUGAGUAUUCUAAGGCGCGUGGAAGAACUCUCUUUAAGGAACUCUGCAAAAUAGCACCGUAUCUUCGGUAUAAGGUGUGGUUCGCUUCGUAUUAGGAUUUACUCCGAAAGCGAAGAAACUUACAACAAAGAGUCCCUCCCGACUGUUUACCAAAAACACAGCACUCUGCUAACUCGUAAGAGGAUGUAUAGGGUGUGACGCCUGCCCGGUGCUCGAAGGUUAAUUGAUGGGGUUAGCAUUAGCGAAGCUCUUGAUCGAAGCCCGAGUAAACGGCGGCCGUAACUAUAACGGUCCUAAGGUAGCGAAAUUCCUUGUCGGUUAAAUACCGACCUGCAUGAAUGGCGUAACGAGAUGGGAGCUGUCUCAAAGAGGGAUCCAGUGAAAUUGUAGUGGAGGUGAAAAUUCCUCCUACCCGCGGCAAGACGGAAAGACCCCGUGGACCUUUACUACAGCUUGACACUGCUAUUUGGAUAAGAAUGUGCAGGAUAGGUGGGAGGCUUUGAGUAUAUGACGCCAGUUGUAUAUGAGCCAUUGUUGAGAUACCACUCUUUCUUAUUUGGGUAGCUAACCAGCUUGAGUUAUCCUCAAGUGGGACAAUGUCUGGUGGGUAGUUUGACUGGGGCGGUCGCCUCCCAAAUAAUAACGGAGGCUUACAAAGGUUGGCUCAGAACGGUUGGAAAUCGUUCGUAGAGUAUAAAGGUAUAAGCCAGCUUAACUGCAAGACAUACAAGUCAAGCAGAGACGAAAGUCGGUCUUAGUGAUCCGGUGGUUCUGUGUGGAAGGGCCAUCGCUCAAAGGAUAAAAGGUACCCCGGGGAUAACAGGCUGAUCUCCCCCAAGAGCUCACAUCGACGGGGAGGUUUGGCACCUCGAUGUCGGCUCAUCGCAUCCUGGGGCUGGAGCAGGUCCCAAGGGUAUGGCUGUUCGCCAUUUAAAGCGGUACGCGAGCUGGGUUCAGAACGUCGUGAGACAGUUCGGUCCCUAUCUGCCGUGGGCGUAAGAAGAUUGAAGAGAUUUGACCCUAGUACGAGAGGACCGGGUUGAACAAACCACUGGUGUAGCUGUUGUUCU